UAAAGCUCUGUUGUUAGGGAAGAACAAGUAUCGGAGUAACUGCCGGUACCUUGACGGUACCUAAUCAGAAAGCCACGGCUAACUACGUGCCAGCAGCCGCGGUAAUACGUAGGUGGCAAGCGUUGUCCGGAAUUAUUGGGCGUAAAGCGCGCGCAGGUGGUUCUUUAAGUCUGAUGUGAAAGCCCACGGCUCAACCGUGGAGGGUCAUUGGAAACUGGGGAACUUGAGUGCAGAAGAGGAAAGUGGAAUUCCACGUGUAGCGGUGAAAUGCGUAGAGAUGUGGAGGAACACCAGUGGCGAAGGCGACUUUCUGGUCUGUAACUGACACUGAGGCGCGAAAGCGUGGGGAGCGAACAGGAUUAGAUACCCUGGUAGUCCACGCCGUAAACGAUGAGUGCUAAGUGUUAGAGGGUUUCCGCCCUUUAGUGCUGCAGCAAACGCAUUAAGCACUCCGCCUGGGGAGUACGGCCGCAAGGCUGAAACUCAAAGGAAUUGACGGGGGCCCGCACAAGCGGUGGAGCAUGUGGUUUAAUUCGAAGCAACGCGAAGAACCUUACCAGGUCUUGACAUCCUCUGACAACUCUGGAGACAGAGCGUUCCCCUUCGGGGGACAGAGUGAC
RNAcentral lists this ribosomal RNA (620 nucleotides) under uncultured Bacillus sp. RNAcentral describes it as "bacterial SSU rRNA". It matches the Rfam family "Bacterial small subunit ribosomal RNA", at positions 426 to 1035 of the family's 1533-position model. The record is from RNAcentral. Lineage: Bacteria; Bacillati; Bacillota; Bacilli; Caryophanales; Bacillaceae.